UACAGAGGUCCCAAGCGUUGUUCGGAUUCACUGGGCGUAAAGGGUGCGUAGGUGGCCAGGUACGUUCGGUGUGAAAGCUCGGAGCUUAACUCCGAAAUGUCAUUGAAUACUAUCUGGCUGGAGGGUCGGAGGGGAGACUGGAAUUCUCGGUGUAGCAGUGAAAUGCGUAGAUAUCGAGAGGAACACCAGUGGCGAAGGCGAGUCUCUGGACGACUCCUGACACUGAGGCACGAAAGCUAGGGGAGCAAACAGG
This 253-nucleotide ribosomal RNA is filed under the name uncultured bacterium. RNAcentral's name for it is "partial 16S ribosomal RNA". It matches the Rfam family "Bacterial small subunit ribosomal RNA", at positions 524 to 776 of the family's 1533-position model. The record is from RNAcentral.